This 1068-nucleotide ribosomal RNA is filed under the name Segatella copri. Its description in RNAcentral is "partial 23S ribosomal RNA". It matches the Rfam family "Bacterial large subunit ribosomal RNA", at positions 396 to 1459 of the family's 2925-position model. Lineage: Bacteria; Pseudomonadati; Bacteroidota; Bacteroidia; Bacteroidales; Prevotellaceae. The record is from RNAcentral.
CAUAGCGGUAUCCUGAGUAACGCGGGACACGAGGAAUCCUGCGCGAAUCUGCCGGGACCAUCCGGUAAGGCUAAAUACUCCCGUGAGACCGAUAGCGAACGAGUACUGUGAAGGAAAGGUGAAAAGAACCCCGAGCAGGGGAGUGAAAUAGUUCCUGAAACCAUACGCCUACAAGCGGUCGGAGCAUCGCAAGAUGUGACGGCGUGCCUUUUGCAUAAUGAUCCUACGAGUUACCGUCACUGGCGAGGUUGAGUGUCACGAGACACGUAGCCGCAGUGAAAGCGAGCCUGAACAGGGCGCACAGUCAGUGGGGGUAGACGCGAAACCAAGUGAUCUACACUUGGCCAGGAUGAAGUCCCGGUAACACGGGAUGGAGGUCCGCACCAAUAAGCGUUGAAAAGCUUCUGGAUGAGCCGAGUGUAGGAGUGAAAGGCCAAUCAAACUUGGAGAUAGCUCGUACUCCCCGAAAGGCAUUUAGGUGCCGCGUCGGAUGGUCACCGUGAGAGGUAGAGCGACCGAUAGGACAAGAGGGCUUCACCGCCUAUCGAGUCCUGACGAACUCCGAAUGCUCACGGUCUGCAGUCCGGCAGUAAGGGGGCGGGUGCUAAGGUCCGUCCCCGAGAGGAGAAGAAUCCAGACCGCCGUCUAAGGUCCCGGAGUUCUGCCUGAGUUAGUCUAACGAAGUCUGGUCCCUAUGACAGCUAGGAUGUUGGCUUGGAAGCAGCCAUUCAUUCAAAGAGUGCGUAACAGCUCACUAGUCGAGGGUCCGGGCAUGGAUAAUAAUCGGGUAUAAGGCAGACACCGAAGGCGCGGGAUAGCAAUUAUAAAAGUAUCGGUAGGGGAGCAUACUCACAGCGUCGAAUGGUGUACGUAAGUUAUCCUGGAGCGGUGAGUAAAGCAAAUGUAGGAAUAAGUAACGAUAAGGAGGGUUAGAUUCCCUCCCGCUGUAAGACCAAGGUUUCCCGGGCAAUGCCAAUCAGCCCGGGGUCAGUCGGGUCCUAAGUCUAAGCCGAACGGCGAUGGCGAUGGCAGAGACGGUUAAUAUUCCGUCACUGCCGCAUGGGGCGA